RNAcentral lists this transfer RNA (88 nucleotides) under Hestiella acidicharens (SeqCode). Its description in RNAcentral is "Candidatus Hestiella acidicharens tRNA-Leu". It matches the Rfam family "tRNA". Rfam says of the family: Transfer RNA (tRNA) molecules are approximately 80 nucleotides in length. Lineage: Archaea; Thermoproteati; Thermoproteota; Thermoprotei; Acidilobales; Acidilobaceae. RNAcentral also lists the same sequence under 1 other name. The record is from RNAcentral.
GCGGGGGUGCCCGAGCCUGGCCAAAGGGGACGGGCCCAGAACCCGUUGGCGUAGGCCUGCGUGGGUUCAAACCCCACCCCCCGCACCA